Molecule: transfer RNA, 61 nt
Filed under: Kapsa arca
Lineage: Eukaryota; Metazoa; Arthropoda; Insecta; Hemiptera; Cicadellidae
Description: tRNA-Cys
Source: RNAcentral
AGUCUUGUAGUUUAACCAAAAUAUUAAAUUGCAAAUUUGAAGAUAUAUACAAUUAAGGCUU